This 560-nucleotide ribosomal RNA is filed under the name uncultured bacterium. RNAcentral describes it as "bacterial SSU rRNA". It matches the Rfam family "Bacterial small subunit ribosomal RNA", at positions 338 to 916 of the family's 1533-position model. The record is from RNAcentral.
CCUACGGGAGGCAGCAGUGGGGAAUCUUGCUCAAUGGGCGAAAGCCUGAAGCAGCAACGCCGCGUGCGGGAUGAAGGCCCUCGGGUUGUAAACCGCUUUCAGCAGGAACGAAUCUGACGGUACCUGCAGAAGAAGGUCCGGCCAACUACGUGCCAGCAGCCGCGGUAACACGUAGGGACCAAGCGUUGUCCGGAUUUAUUGGGCGUAAAGAGCUCGUAGGCGGUUCAGUCAGUCGGGUGUGAAAACUUCGGGCUUAACUCGAAGCAUGCAUCCGAUACUGCUGUGACUUGAGUCCGGUAGGGGAGUGGGGAAUUCCUGGUGUAGCGGUGAAAUGCGCAGAUAUCAGGAGGAACACCGGUGGCGAAGGCGCCACUCUGGGCCGGUACUGACGCUGAGGAGCGAAAGCGUGGGUAGCAAACAGGAUUAGAUACCCUGGUAGUCCACGCUGUAAACGUUGGGCACUAGGUGUGGGCUCUAACCACGGAGUCCGUGCCGCAGCUAACGCAUUAAGUGCCCGCCUGGGGAUACGGCCGCAAGGUUAAACCUUAAGGAAUUGACGG